GUGUCAAAAUAGGUCCAACAUAGGAAGUUAGCAUAUUAGAACUGAAAUUCAUUAAUGCUAUUUUAUGCUAUAUGUUUAAAUGAAUGUCAAAAUGGAUUUCACUACUAGAAUUUACCUGAUACCUCAUUUUAUCAUGUGAUUUUGCAUAUUUGUUAAAUUGUUUUAAUUUUAUUGCCUUAUUAUUUUUCUUGAGCUAUUUCAGGGUCACAUGUGCAAGUUGAAGCAUUUCGGAAGUUAUCAAAGAAAGCAACACCAAGAGCACGUUUAUGAACUUGCAAUUUUGACUCCUUCAAAAAGAUUGAAUAUAUAUUUUGGGAUAUUUAGAGACCUCUUUUGGAUUUGUGUUCUUCAUAAGAUAUAAAAUAGACACCAUAAGCUUUCAUACAAUCAAUUAAGAACCAACUCAUUCUGAGGUGUCUAUAGGACGUUAUGAAGUUCAAAAGUUGGUGGUGCGCAUGUUUUGCGAUCGCAAAGAGAUCUUGACCGUGUUGUAUUGAGUGACGAUUUUGAAAUUCUUAGAGGCCUCUAAUUGUAAUAUCACGUAAUUUUCCGGCAUGUCUUGCCAAGGUUUCGAAUAGUUUCCGAUUAGACUCUAAUUUCUUAUGUGUUAAUUUUAUCCAUGUGUUUAUUUUUAAUUGGCUCUACUUAUUUAUUUGAUUUUUUGGUUGAGUUUUUGAAUUUUUUUGCAUGGUGGCAUAUGAGUUUUAUCGGGCUUUAAAAUCGUUGCGUUUUGGUUAUCGUUCGAAGUUUUAAAACUGAUUUAAAGCUUUCAGACGAUCGUCUAAAAUUUUAGAUGAGCGUAUGUUCUUUUAAGUAAAUUUUGGACGAUCGUCCAGUGUUUUAAACGAUCGUCUAAACCGGUUUGUAUAUAAAGCUGAAUUUCAUUUUAAAACUCAUUUUUCUAACAAAACUCAAAUUGAAAGCUGCAACACUAUUCAUCUUCUCUCCCAAUUGAAAUAUCUUACCCUAAGCCUAACUUUGGAGAUUUUAAGAUCAAAUAACAUUUUAAAACACCCUUAUAAAUUAAGAAGAUUUUGGUACAUGCGUAAAAGGAUUUGAAGGAUUUUCAAACUUGUUUGUUCUUGGAGCAUAAGCAUUUCGGUUUUCAUUUUUAUUUUUCAGAUUUUGAACUUCAAGAGGCAUAAUGUGGGAGUUUUUCAUGAUAUUCAAGCCAUUUGGAAGCCAUUUUGAUCAUAAUUGAAGCUUUGAGGAAAGUUGUGCGAAGAUCCGAUGAAAAUAGAGACGCCGAGAGCACAAUUUCCUACUUGUGAAUUUGACCCCUCUGCAUUGAUUGAAGAUUUUGGAGUACUUCGAGAAUUUAAUCGACUUUAUGUUCUUCACAAGAAAUAAAGUAGACAUCCUAAAAUUAUCAUAGAAUCAAGAAUCGCCUCAUUCCGACGUUUCUACACCGAGUUAUGACCUUUUGAAGUUGACAGUUGUGCAGCAGAAAAAGUGCACGAACGUGUAACCUAAAGUGCACGAACGUGUACUUUGGCCGAAGGGAAAUUGAAGGCGAAACUGAAGAAAAAAGUGAAAAAUUGGCUAAGUGUUGGGGUGCACGAACGUGUACCUUUGGUGCACGAACUUGCACCCGCAGAACCAACAAAAUGUGCACGAACGUGCACCAAAGUGCACGAACGUACACUUGAGGGUUCCUGCGACCUGUUUUGGACAAAAAUGCCCCGAAACAUUGCCAAACACCACCAAACUCGAGGGCACUUCUGGGUUUUCACUAAAACUCGACCUAAAGUCAUUCUCUGAGCCAAAAGACAUAUAAAUACGACAUUAAGACAUUGAAGGAAGGGUUCGCUUAGUUCGCCACAUUAGACAUUAGUUAUUACAUUAGUUUAACUUAGUUUUUGAUAUCCGUUCAUCGUUUUAGCUUGUAUUCUGAAUUUUCUACAUUAUUGUUUUGGGAUUAUUGUCGAUCAAGGUACGAUAACUAUUAAGAGAUUAAUUUUAUUGUUUCUUAUUCA
This is a long non-coding RNA of Mercurialis annua (annual mercury), 1976 nucleotides long. RefSeq lists it as uncharacterized. The record is from RefSeq and is a predicted model, not a curated record. NCBI's taxonomy places the organism in Eukaryota, Viridiplantae, Streptophyta, Magnoliopsida, Malpighiales, Euphorbiaceae. The transcript has 2 exons.